GAUGAACGCUAGCGGCAGGCCUAACACAUGCAAGUCGAGGGAGAAGCCCUUUCGGGGGCAGAAACCGGCGCACGGGUGCGUAACGCGUAUGCAACCUACCUUUCACAGGGAGAUAGCCCGAAGAAAUUUGGAUUAAUACCCCAUAAUAUUGUUGGAUGGCAUCAUCUGGCAAUUAAAACUGCGGUGGUGAAAGAUGGGCAUGCGUCCUAUUAGCUAGUUGGAGUGGUAACGGCACCCCAAGGCUACGAUAGGUAGGGGUCCUGAGAGGGAGAUCCCCCACACUGGUACUGAGACAGGGACCAGACUCCUACGGGAGGCAGCAGUGAGGAAUAUUGGUCAAUGGUCGGAAGACUGAACCAGCCAUGCCGCGUGCAGGAAGAAUGCCUUAUGGGUUGUAAACUGCUUUUAUAUGGGAAGAAUAAGGUGUACGAGUACAUUGAUGACGUACCAUAUGAUAAGC
Molecule: ribosomal RNA, 460 nt
Filed under: Capnocytophaga gingivalis
Lineage: Bacteria; Pseudomonadati; Bacteroidota; Flavobacteriia; Flavobacteriales; Flavobacteriaceae
Description: bacterial SSU rRNA
Rfam family: Bacterial small subunit ribosomal RNA
Source: RNAcentral